GGGGUCGUAGCUCAAAUGGUAGAGCGCCCGCUUAGCAUGCGAUGCUGAGCGCUGCAGAUGAUGUGCGGGAGGUAGGGGGAUCGAUGCCCUCCGACUCCA
Molecule: transfer RNA, 99 nt
Organism: Volvox carteri f. nagariensis
Lineage: Eukaryota; Viridiplantae; Chlorophyta; Chlorophyceae; Chlamydomonadales; Volvocaceae
Rfam family: tRNA
About the family: Transfer RNA (tRNA) molecules are approximately 80 nucleotides in length. Their secondary structure includes four short double-helical elements and three loops (D, anti-codon, and T loops). Further hydrogen bonds mediate the characteristic L-shaped molecular structure. tRNAs have two regions of fundamental functional importance: the anti-codon, which is responsible for specific mRNA codon recognition, and the 3' end, to which the tRNAs corresponding amino acid is attached (by aminoacyl-tRNA synthetases). tRNAs cope with the degeneracy of the genetic code in two manners: having more than one tRNA (with a specific anti-codon) for a particular amino acid; and 'wobble' base-pairing, i.e. permitting non-standard base-pairing at the 3rd anti-codon position.
Source: Rfam